Helianthus annuus (common sunflower) is the source of this 580-nucleotide long non-coding RNA. RefSeq lists it as uncharacterized. The record is from RefSeq and is a predicted model, not a curated record. Lineage: Eukaryota; Viridiplantae; Streptophyta; Magnoliopsida; Asterales; Asteraceae. The transcript has 5 exons.
UGACUCAUGGAGGGGCAGAGUGAAAAUUGAAACAUAGGCGGGUGUAUAUAUAUUAUAACAUUGUGUGCGUGAAAUCCUCAGACAAACCCUAAAUCGGAGGGAUGGAAGGCAAAGGUAGAAAAACUCGAGUGACAAGGAGGGGCCCUUCUGAGGUUCUGGCUGAGGGUCCAGGCUCUGCAUUUGGUACCAAAGCAUGUGGAUUUACCACCACUAUGUCCAGGUGAUUAUUAUGACAUUGAUGAAGUGAGAAAAAGGUACCCUGGUAUUGGAAUCCAGCUACUUGAUAUCGCCCUAAUACUGGACGAAGAUCACUGCCUAGUUGAAAAAGUAUCCGGAGAUUCUAUUGAGACUGCUUUGCGUCGGAUGCAUAAGGUUUCAAGGUUGAAGUGAUUUGAGGAUCCUGCGGGUUGUUGGAAAAACUUUUUAGUGUGUUUCAAAUGUUUCGGACUUGCACUUGGGUUUUGGUAAAACUUGUUAAUAUGGUCAUGUUCUUGGUUAAUCUCACAAAAUUCAGUAUGCUAAAAAGCCAACUGUUAUUUGAACCGGUUUAGUAAUUCAAAUCCAUGUUUUAUUUUGCUUC